Molecule: ribosomal RNA, 1749 nt
Filed under: Triticum aestivum (bread wheat)
Lineage: Eukaryota; Viridiplantae; Streptophyta; Magnoliopsida; Poales; Poaceae
Description: partial small subunit ribosomal RNA
Source: RNAcentral
AUGAAUGAAGAACUCGACAAACCGUACACUGUGGAGGAGAUCAAGACGGCUUUGUUUCAGAUGGCGCCAUCAAAGGCGCCGGGUGUGGACGGAUUUAUAGCGGGAUAUUUUCAGCGGCAUCGGUCCUUGUUGAAAGAUGAUAUAAUUCCGGCUGUCCUAGAUUUCUUGAAUGGGGGAGUCCUACCUGAGGGCAUGAACGACACAUCUAUCACUUUGAUCCCAAAGGUGCGUCACUCGCAGCGUAUAUCUCAAUAUCGGCCCAUCUCACUGUGCCCUGUUCUCUACAAGAUUGCCUCGAAAUGCAUAACAAAUAGGGUACGAGUGUUUGUGGGUGAGAUCAUCAGUGAAGAGCAGAGUGCAUUUGUGCCCGGCCGGCUCAUUACUGACAACGUUCUCAUCGCUUAUGAGAGCGUUCACACUAUGAGACGUCGGAAUAAAGGAAAUAAUGUUUCUUGUGCCGUCAAACUCGACAUGAUAAAGGCAUACGAUCAGGUUGAAUGGCAUUUUCUGGAGGCAAUUAUGCUGAGAUUAGGUUUUAGUUCACAGUUUGUCAGACUUGUGAUGAAGUGUGUAACUCCGGUAAGGUUUAUAGUACGAGUGAAUGGACAAUUACUUCCCUACUUCACACCAUCUAGAGGUCUCCGUCAGGGAGAUCCUAGUUCAUCGUUUCUGUUUCUUAUCUGUGUAGAGGGUUUUACCUCACUGCUGAAGUUUUAUGGAGGUACCCAUGUUGACAGAGGCAUCCGUGUUAGCCCUCUUUCCCCUUGGGUUAAUCACCUACUCUUCGCUGAUAACAGCUUGAUAUUUCUGAAGGCAGAAAGGGCGAGUGCGACCAGGUUGAAUGAGGUGCUUCUAAUUUAUGGCGAAGGCUCGGGACAAUGUGUUAAUAGGGACAAAAGUUCUAUCUUUUUCAGUCCAAACACACCCGAUGCAGUUCGACAGGAACUCAAGACAGUGUUGGGAAUUACUGUGGAGGCGUUUAAUGAGCGGUAUCUGGGCCUUCCAACGGCCAUUGGAUGCAUUAAUUACCAGCGGUACUUUUGAAUACCUUGGUGAGAGGAUCAGAAGCAAGCUUCAAGGGGCACUGAACGACUUAUUUCAUGUGCCGGGAGGGAGGUCAGGAUCAAGGCCGUUGCCCAGGCGAUCCCGGCCUUCUCGAUGAGUUGCUUCAAGCUCACGAAAAAGUAUAUAAGGGUUUUUCAUAAAAAUAUGGCAAGGUAUUGGUGGAGUAGCUCAGUUGACCGCAGGUCUUUGCACUCGAUCGAUUGGGACUCACUAACUAAGCCAAAGAAUGCAGGAGGGAUGGGGUUCAGAAGCUUGGAAGUGUUUAACUUAGCUCUGCUUGGGAAACAUGGGUGGAUGCUGAUCACGAAUUCGGACUCUCUCUGCGCACGUGUCUUGAAAGGAAAGUACUUUCCCACCAGUGAGUUUAUGGAUGCAACUAUACCAAAGCAUGCAUUAGCCACUUGGAGGGCAAUUGUUGCGGGCAGAGAGGCCCUACGGACUAGCUUAAUAAAAAGGAUCGGAGAUGGUAUGUCUGUAUCAACAUGGAAUGAUAUCUGGAUUCCGGGUCUUCUCACACUUCGGCCUUCGGUGCAAAUCGGAGAUGCCGCAAUUCCUCGAGUUGCUGAUCUGAUUAAUGCUGAACAUGGUACUUGGAAGAGCAAACUCGUGAUACGGAAUUUUACAGCCCCUGAAGCAUAUGCAAUUCUAAAUAUUCCCCUGAGCUUCGAUUGGGGGGGGGGAUGA